This 268-nucleotide ribosomal RNA is filed under the name Burkholderia cenocepacia. Its description in RNAcentral is "partial 23S ribosomal RNA". It matches the Rfam family "Bacterial large subunit ribosomal RNA", at positions 2669 to 2925 of the family's 2925-position model. The record is from RNAcentral. Lineage: Bacteria; Pseudomonadati; Pseudomonadota; Betaproteobacteria; Burkholderiales; Burkholderiaceae.
GGGCUGCUCCUAGUACGAGAGGACCGGAGUGGACGAACCUCUGGUGUACCGGUUGUCACGCCAGUGGCAUCGCCGGGUAGCUAUGUUCGGAAGAGAUAACCGCUGAAAGCAUCUAAGCGGGAAACUCGCCUUAAGAUGAGAUAUCCCUGGGGACUAGAUCCCCUUGAAGGGUCGUUCGAGACCAGGACGUUGAUAGGUCAGGUGUGUAAGCGCAGUAAUGCGUUCAGCUAACUGAUACUAAUUGCCCGUAAGGCUUGAUCCUAUAACA